GGGGAAUAUUGGUCAAUGGGCGAGAGCCUGAACCAGCCAAGUAGCGUGAAGGAUGACUGCCCUAUGGGUUGUAAACUUCUUUUAUAAAGGAAUAAAGUCGGGUAUGUAUACCCGUUUGCAUGUACUUUAUGAAUAAGGAUCGGCUAACUCCGUGCCAGCAGCCGCGGUAAUACGGAGGAUCCGAGCGUUAUCCGGAUUUAUUGGGUUUAAAGGGAGCGUAGAUGGAUAUUUAAGUCAGUUGUGAAAGUUUGCGGCUCAACCGUAAAAUUGCAGUUGAUACUGGAUAUCUUGAGUGCAGUUGAGGCAGGCGGAAUUCGUGGUGUAGCGGUGAAAUGCUUAGAUAUCACGAAGAACUCCGAUUGCGAAGGCAGCCUGCUAAGCUGCAACUGACAUUGAGGCUCGAAAGUGUGGGUAUCAAACAGGAUUAGAUACCCUGGUAGUCCACACGGUAAACGAUGAAUACUCGCUGUAGGCGAUAUACAGUCUGCGGCCAAGCGAAAGCAUUAAGUAUUCCACCUGGGGAGUACGCCGGCAACGGUGAAACUCAAAGGAAUUGACGGGGGCCCGCACAAGCGGAGGAACAUGUGGUUUAAUUCGAUGAUACGCGAGGAACCUUACCCGGGCUUAAAUUGCAACCGAAUAUGGCGGAAACGCUAUAGCUAGCAAUAGCGGUUGUGAAGGUGCUGCAUGGUUGUCGUCAGCUCGUGCCGUGAGGUGUCGGCUUAAGUGCCAUAACGAGCGCAACCCUUGCCGAUAGUUACUAACAGGUUAUGCUGAGGACUCUGUCGGGACUGCCAUCGUAAGAUGUGAGGAAGGUGGGGAUGACGUCAAAUCAGCACGGCCCUUACGUCCGGGGCUACACACGUGUUACAAUGGGGGGUACAGAGGGCUGCUACCACGCAAGUGGAUGCCAAUCCCAAAAACCUCUCUCAGUUCGGAUUGAAGUCUGCAACCCGACUUCAUGAAGCUGGAUUCGCUAGUAAUCGCGCAUCAGCCACGGCGCGGUGAAUACGUUCCCG
Molecule: ribosomal RNA, 1019 nt
Filed under: uncultured bacterium
Lineage: Bacteria
Description: bacterial SSU rRNA
Rfam family: Bacterial small subunit ribosomal RNA
Source: RNAcentral